AAGGCUUUAAGUUAAUUAAACUAGUAUCCUUCAAAGCUAUAAAUAAAGAAAUUACUUCUUUAAGUCUUA
RNAcentral lists this transfer RNA (69 nucleotides) under Rhabdoblatta nigrovittata. RNAcentral describes it as "tRNA-Trp". The record is from RNAcentral. Lineage: Eukaryota; Metazoa; Arthropoda; Insecta; Blattodea; Blaberidae.